AACGAACGCUGGCGGCAUGCCUAACACAUGCAAGUCGAACGAAGCCUUCGGGCUUAGUGGCACACGGGUGCGUAACGCGUGGGAAUCUGCCCUUUGGUUCGGAAUAACAGUUGGAGACGACUGCUAAUACCGGAUGAUGACAAAAGUCCAAAGAUCUAUCGCCAGAGGAUGAGCCCGCGUAGGAUUAGCUAGUUGGUGUGGUAAAGGCGCACCAAGGCGACGAUCCUUAGCUGGUCUGAGAGGAUGAUCAGCCACACUGGGACUGAGACACGGCCCAGACUCCUACGGGAGGCAGCAGUGGGGAAUAUUGGACAAUGGGCGAAAGCCUGAUCCAGCAAUGCCGCGUGAGUGAUGAAGGCCCUAGGGUUGUAAAGCUCUUUUACCCGGGAUGAUAAUGACAGUACCGGGAGAAUAAGCCCCGGCUAACUCCGUGCCAGCCGCCGCCGUAA
This 449-nucleotide ribosomal RNA is filed under the name uncultured bacterium. Its description in RNAcentral is "partial 16S ribosomal RNA". It matches the Rfam family "Bacterial small subunit ribosomal RNA", at positions 29 to 523 of the family's 1533-position model. The record is from RNAcentral.